AACGCACCUUGCACUCCUUGGUAUUCCGAGGAGUAUGCCUGUUUGAGUGUCAUGAAAUUAUCAACUUCAUAGUUUUAUUACUCUGAAGCUUGGAUUUGGAAGCUUGCUGGCUCUCAAGCCGGCUCUUCUUAAAUGUAUUAGCUGCUUGUCCGUGGGUUGGCUCAGAGUGUGAUAAGUAUCUACACUUGGUGGCUGCUCGCUUGGAUGUGGCUUCUAACCGUCUUCGGACAAUUCCUUAAGAUCUGACCUCAAAUCAGGUAGGACUACCCGCUGAACUUAA
This 280-nucleotide unclassified non-coding RNA is filed under the name Xenasmatella sp. RNAcentral's name for it is "partial contains 5.8S ribosomal RNA, internal transcribed spacer 2, and large subunit ribosomal RNA". The stretch from base 1 to 52 matches the Rfam family "5.8S ribosomal RNA", at positions 103 to 154 of the family's 154-position model. The record is from RNAcentral. RNAcentral also lists the same sequence under 1 other name. Lineage: Eukaryota; Fungi; Basidiomycota; Agaricomycetes; Xenasmatellaceae.